UAUUUCAGGUGUAGCCGGUGAAAUGCGUAGAGAUCUGGAGGAAUACCUGGUGGCGAAGGGCGGCCCCUUGGACAAAGACUGACGCUCAGGUGCGAAAGCGUGGGGAGCAAACAGGAUUAGAUACCGUGGUAGUCCACGCCGUAAACGAUGUCGACUUGGAGGUUGUGCCCUUGAGGCGUGGCUUCCGGAGCUAACGCGUUAAGUCGACCGCCUGGGGAGUACGGCCGCAAGGUUAAAACUCAAAUGAAUUGACGGGGGCCCGCACAAGCGGUGGAGCAUGUGGUUUAAUUCGAUGCAACGCGAAGAACCUUACCUACUCUUGACAUCCAGAGAACUUAGCAGAGAUGGAUUGGCGCCUUCGGGAACUCUGAGACAGGUGCUGCAUGGCUGUCGUCAGCUCGUGUUGUGAAAUGUUGGGUUAAGUCCCGCAACGAGCGCAACCCUUAUCCUUUGUUGCCAGCGGUUCGGCCGGGAACUCAAAGGAGACUGCCAGUGAUAAACUGGAGGAAGGUGGGGAUGACGUCAAGUCAUCAUGGCCCUUACGAGUAGGGCUACACACGUGCUACAAUGGCGUAUACAAAGAGAAGCGACCUCGCGAGAGCAAGCGGACCUCAUAAAGUAUGUCGUAGUCCGGAUUGGAGUCUGCAACUCGACUCCAUGAAGUCGGAAUCGCUAGUAAUCGUGGAUCAGAAUGCCACGGUGAAUACGUUCCCGGGCCUUGUACACACCGCCCGUCACACCAUGGGAGUGGGUUGCAAAAGAAGUAGGUAGCUUAAUCACGCUCAGAUGCUUAGUAGAUUUUUUUAAAU
RNAcentral lists this ribosomal RNA (809 nucleotides) under Citrobacter sp. RNAcentral describes it as "bacterial SSU rRNA". It matches the Rfam family "Bacterial small subunit ribosomal RNA", at positions 665 to 1468 of the family's 1533-position model. The record is from RNAcentral. Lineage: Bacteria; Pseudomonadati; Pseudomonadota; Gammaproteobacteria; Enterobacterales; Enterobacteriaceae.